CAGAGGGUGCAAGCGUUAAUCGGAAUUACUGGGCGUAAAGCGUGCGUAGACGGUCAUGUAAGUCGGGUGUGAAAGCCCCGGGCUCAACCUGGGAAUUGCAUUCGAGACUGCAUGGCUAGGAUGCGGAAGAGGGAAGCGGAAUUUCCGGUGUAGCGGUGAAAUGCGUAGAUAUCGGAAGGAACACCAGUGGCGAAAGCGGCUUCCUGGUCCAGCAUCGACGUUCAGGCACGAAAGCGUGGGGAGCAAACAGGAUUAGAUACCCUGGUAGUCCACGCCAUAAACGAUGAGAACUAGACGUUGAGAGGGUAAGCCUCCCAGUGUCGUAGCUAACGCGCUAAGUUCUCCGCCUGGGGAGUACGGCCGCAAGGUUG
Molecule: ribosomal RNA, 371 nt
Filed under: uncultured organism
Description: bacterial SSU rRNA
Rfam family: Bacterial small subunit ribosomal RNA
Source: RNAcentral